AGCGUACACGGUGGAUGCCCUGGCAGUCAGAGGCGAUGAAGGACGUGCUAAUCUGCGAUAAGCGUCGGUAAGGUGAUAUGAACCGUUAUAACCGGCGAUUUCCGAAUGGGGAAACCCAGUGUGAUUCGUCACACUAUCAUUAACUGAAUCCAUAGGUUAAUGAGGCGAACCGGGGGAACUGAAACAUCUAAGUACCCCGAGGAAAAGAAAUCAACCGAGAUUCCCCCAGUAGCGGCGAGCGAACGGGGAGCAGCCCAGAGCCUGAAUCAGUGUGUGUGUUAGUGGAAGCGUCUGGAAAGGCGCGCGAUACAGGGUGACAGCCCCGUACACAAAAAUGCACAUGCUGUGAGCUCGAUGAGUAGGGCGGGACACGUGGUAUCCUGUCUGAAUAUGGGGGGACCAUCCUCCAAGGCUAAAUACUCCUGACUGACCGAUAGUGAACCAGUACCGUGAGGGAAAGGCGAAAAGAACCCCGGCGAGGGGAGUGAAAAAGAACCUGAAACCGUGUACGUACAAGCAGUGGGAGCACAGAGCAAUCUGUGUGACUGCGUACCUUUUGUAUAAUGGGUCAGCGACUUAUAUUCUGUAGCAAGGUUAACCGAAUAGGGGAGCCGAAGGGAAACCGAGUCUUAACUGGGCGUUAAGUUGCAGGGUAUAGACCCGAAACCCGGUGAUCUAGCCAUGGGCAGGUUGAAGGUUGGGUAACACUAACUGGAGGACCGAACCGACUAAUGUUGAAAAAUUAGCGGAUGACUUGUGGCUGGGGGUGAAAGGCCAAUCAAACCGGGAGAUAGCUGGUUCUCCCCGAAAGCUAUUUAGGUAGCGCCUCGUGAAUUCAUCUCCGGGGGUAGAGCACUGUUUCGGCAAGGGGGUCAUCCCGACUUACCAACCCGAUGCAAACUGCGAAUACCGGAGAAUGUUAUCACGGGAGACACACGGCGGGUGCUAACGUCCGUCGUGAAGAGGGAAACAACCCAGACCGCCAGCUAAGGUCCCAAAGUCAUGGUUAAGUGGGAAACGAUGUGGGAAGGCCCAGACAGCCAGGAUGUUGGCUUAGAAGCAGCCAUCAUUUAAAGAAAGCGUAAUAGCUCACUGGUCGAGUCGGCCUGCGCGGAAGAUGUAACGGGGCUAAACCAUGCACCGAAGCUGCGGCAGCGACGCUUAUGCGUUGUUGGGUAGGGGAGCGUUCUGUAAGCCUGCGAAGGUGUGCUGUGAGGCAUGCUGGAGGUAUCAGAAGUGCGAAUGCUGACAUAAGUAACGAUAAAGCGGGUGAAAAGCCCGCUCGCCGGAAGACCAAGGGUUCCUGUCCAACGUUAAUCGGGGCAGGGUGAGUCGACCCCUAAGGCGAGGCCGAAAGGCGUAGUCGAUGGGAAACAGGUUAAUAUUCCUGUACUUGGUGUUACUGCGAAGGGGGGACGGAGAAGGCUAUGUUGGCCGGGCGACGGUUGUCCCGGUUUAAGCGUGUAGGCUGGUUUUCCAGGCAAAUCCGGAAAACUAAGGCUGAGGCGUGAUGACGAGGCACUACGGUGCUGAAGCAACAAAUGCCCUGCUUCCAGGAAAAGCCUCUAAGCAUCAGGUAACAUCAAAUCGUACCCCAAACCGACACAGGUGGUCAGGUAGAGAAUACCAAGGCGCUUGAGAGAACUCGGGUGAAGGAACUAGGCAAAAUGGUGCCGUAACUUCGGGAGAAGGCACGCUGAUAUGUAGGUGAAGCGACUUGCUCGUGGAGCUGAAAUCAGUCGAAGAUACCAGCUGGCUGCAACUGUUUAUUAAAAACACAGCACUGUGCAAACACGAAAGUGGACGUAUACGGUGUGACGCCUGCCCGGUGCCGGAAGGUUAAUUGAUGGGGUCAGCGCAAGCGAAGCUCUUGAUCGAAGCCCCGGUAAACGGCGGCCGUAACUAUAACGGUCCUAAGGUAGCGAAAUUCCUUGUCGGGUAAGUUCCGACCUGCACGAAUGGCGUAAUGAUGGCCAGGCUGUCUCCACCCGAGACUCAGUGAAAUUGAACUCGCUGUGAAGAUGCAGUGUACCCGCGGCAAGACGGAAAGACCCCGUGAACCUUUACUAUAGCUUGACACUGAACAUUGAGCCUUGAUGUGUAGGAUAGGUGGGAGGCUUUGAAGUGUGGACGCCAGUCUGCAUGGAGCCGACCUUGAAAUACCACCCUUUAAUGUUUGAUGUUCUAACGUUGACCCGUGAUCCGGGUUGCGGACAGUGUCUGGUGGGUAGUUUGACUGGGGCGGUCUCCUCCUAAAGAGUAACGGAGGAGCACGAAGGUUGGCUAAUCCUGGUCGGACAUCAGGAGGUUAGUGCAAUGGCAUAAGCCAGCUUGACUGCGAGCGUGACGGCGCGAGCAGGUGCGAAAGCAGGUCAUAGUGAUCCGGUGGUUCUGAAUGGAAGGGCCAUCGCUCAACGGAUAAAAGGUACUCCGGGGAUAACAGGCUGAUACCGCCCAAGAGUUCAUAUCGACGGCGGUGUUUGGCACCUCGAUGUCGGCUCAUCACAUCCUGGGGCUGAAGUAGGUCCCAAGGGUAUGGCUGUUCGCCAUUUAAAGUGGUACGCGAGCUGGGUUUAGAACGUCGUGAGACAGUUCGGUCCCUAUCUGCCGUGGGCGCUGGAGAACUGAGGGGGGCUGCUCCUAGUACGAGAGGACCGGAGUGGACGCAUCACUGGUGUUCGGGUUGUCAUGCCAAUGGCACUGCCCGGUAGCUAAAUGCGGAAGAGAUAAGUGCUGAAAGCAUCUAAGCACGAAACUUGCCCCGAGAUGAGUUCUCCCUGACUCCUUGA
This 2789-nucleotide ribosomal RNA is filed under the name Escherichia coli. RNAcentral describes it as "bacterial LSU rRNA". It matches the Rfam family "Bacterial large subunit ribosomal RNA". Lineage: Bacteria; Pseudomonadati; Pseudomonadota; Gammaproteobacteria; Enterobacterales; Enterobacteriaceae. The record is from RNAcentral.